GCCACCUUAGCUCAGCGGCUAGAGCAACACUUUUGUAAAGUGAAGGUCGUCGGUUCGAAUCCGACAGGUGGCUCCA
Molecule: transfer RNA, 76 nt
Filed under: Candidatus Saccharibacteria bacterium RIFCSPHIGHO2_12_FULL_47_17
Lineage: Bacteria; Candidatus Saccharimonadota
Also listed under: 4 other names
Description: tRNA-Thr
Rfam family: tRNA
About the family: Transfer RNA (tRNA) molecules are approximately 80 nucleotides in length. Their secondary structure includes four short double-helical elements and three loops (D, anti-codon, and T loops). Further hydrogen bonds mediate the characteristic L-shaped molecular structure. tRNAs have two regions of fundamental functional importance: the anti-codon, which is responsible for specific mRNA codon recognition, and the 3' end, to which the tRNAs corresponding amino acid is attached (by aminoacyl-tRNA synthetases). tRNAs cope with the degeneracy of the genetic code in two manners: having more than one tRNA (with a specific anti-codon) for a particular amino acid; and 'wobble' base-pairing, i.e. permitting non-standard base-pairing at the 3rd anti-codon position.
Source: RNAcentral